This is a long non-coding RNA of Manihot esculenta (cassava), 1232 nucleotides long. RefSeq lists it as uncharacterized. The transcript has 2 exons. Lineage: Eukaryota; Viridiplantae; Streptophyta; Magnoliopsida; Malpighiales; Euphorbiaceae. The record is from RefSeq and is a predicted model, not a curated record.
GUUGAGCAUUAUGUAAGAUUUUGUACAUUGGAAUGCAUUAUUGUCAGUAUGUUUAGUGGGAGUUCCCCACAAUGAUCUCUAGCAGUUUGGGGCACAACACACAGAGCUGAGCUGAGCUGAGCUUCCAUUGUUUUGGUCCCAGAGGAUGAAGUCACUGCUCAGGCAAGUUCUGAGAGAAUAAAGAUCACCAAAUCAUGUACAAGAAUUGGACCACCGGCCGUCACCGUCCUUAACAUGACACGCAUGGAGGACGACAUACAGAGCUGCUCCCUGCUACGCAAUGCAUGUCUGAAGUGUUCUUCAUGGAUACAUACAAAGACUUAUGGCAUUGUACGACAUAUAUGCAUAAUCAAUGGCCGAAAAAUUAAUGUUUUUGUCUUAUUUCUCCUUUAAAAUUAAACUUUCAAUAUAACUGCUUUAUUUCUCUUCACUUCUCCCUCUCAUUAUUUCUAUUAAAAAAUAGUGAAAUAGCCAUUAAAAUUUUAAUCACUAAUUAGUUGCUAUUUGAAAAUAAGGACCAAUUUCCUUCUAUUAUCUCCGCCACUCCCUCUCCCUCUCCCUUCCUCUCUCUCUCGUCUUCUUUCUUUCUUUCUCUUUAAUUUUGUACGACAACUCGCCAACAGCAUCAUAACUACUCACUGUGUCGAUCAUUCUCUUCUCACAACUACUCACUUUGUCCACUUACUAACUAGGGAAUGAAAAAUCCAUCCAACACAUGUAACCUUCGAGAAAAGGAAUCAACCUACCCAGCGAGCUAGUCAGGGCGUGCAUGCGUUGGUUUCUCUGAAAUUAUGAGAGAUGGAGACCUGCCGAUCAAAAUCCAGGAGGCACUUAUUCUGGAAAUUAAAUUAAAGCACAUAUUUCUUUUUAUUUUUAUUUUAAUUUAAAAUUUUUUGUCCUCCAAUGCUAAAGCUAUCAUUAAUCUCUUCUUCGGCAACAAGUGUCACCAUCUAUCGCCGCCUCAAUGGAAGUGCGCUUAACGUUGAUAGUGGCAGGCAGGAUUUGUGCCUUUGGAGAUAUGGGUUUCUUUGAUUUUGGCCUCUCUUUGUAGUUAAAGGAGAAAUGAGAGAGGUUAAGAAGUAAGUUUUCCUUAAAAAGCUUAGGGUUAUUUUUAGUUGAAACUUUGAUUUAUUUUCUUUAAUUGUCUUUGAAUGUAGCGGACUGAAAAUUUAAUGCAAUAAAUUUUUAUCGUUAAGAAAAAACAAAUGAAGGUAAUAAAAAAUAAUUUUAUA